AGUGGGAUAGCUGGGUCAAAUCCAUUCCAGGUUUUCUAAGGAAUUUCCAUACUGCUUUCCAUAAUGGUUGCACCAAUCUGCAGUCCCACCAGCAAU
This 96-nucleotide microRNA precursor is filed under the name Marmota monax (woodchuck). Lineage: Eukaryota; Metazoa; Chordata; Mammalia; Rodentia; Sciuridae. The record is from RNAcentral.